This 408-nucleotide ribosomal RNA is filed under the name uncultured bacterium. RNAcentral's name for it is "partial 16S ribosomal RNA". It matches the Rfam family "Bacterial small subunit ribosomal RNA", at positions 29 to 526 of the family's 1533-position model. The record is from RNAcentral.
AGUGAACGCUGGCGGCGUGCCUAAUACAUGCAAGUCGAACGAAGUGACUCGCGGAUGAGUAAUUUAUAGUUAAUCUGCCUUCCACAGAGGAACGACAAUUGGAAACGACUGCUAAUACCUCAUAGUGUAGGAUGAGUCUAUAUCGUAUCAGCUAGUUGGUAAGGUAAUGGCUUACCAAGGCUAUGACUCGUAACUGGUCUGAGAGGAUGAUCAGUCACAUUGGAACUGAGACACGGUCGAAACUCCUACGGGAGGCAGCAGUAAGGAAUAGUGCGCAACGGGGGAAACCAUGACGCCGCUACGGCUCGUAGAGGAUGAUAAUCUUCGGAGAGUAAACUCUUGUUAUUAGGAAAGCGGUACCGGAUGAAUAAGCAACGGCUAACUCCGUGCCAGCAGCCGCGGUAAUAC